Molecule: transfer RNA, 94 nt
Filed under: Nocardia wallacei
Lineage: Bacteria; Bacillati; Actinomycetota; Actinomycetes; Mycobacteriales; Nocardiaceae
Description: tRNA-Gly
Source: RNAcentral
UCGUGCAGCAGGUGCGCCAGGCGCACCCCGGCGGUCCCGGCGCCGGAGACGACGCCCCGGCUCGGGCCACUGCCGUUCCACAGCACCGCGCGGG